Molecule: transfer RNA, 75 nt
Filed under: Bacteroides sp. AF17-1
Lineage: Bacteria; Pseudomonadati; Bacteroidota; Bacteroidia; Bacteroidales; Bacteroidaceae
Description: tRNA-Arg
Rfam family: tRNA
About the family: Transfer RNA (tRNA) molecules are approximately 80 nucleotides in length.
Source: RNAcentral
GCACCCGUAGUUCAAUGGAUAGAAUACCGGAUUCCGGUUCCGACGAUAUGAGUUCGAUUCUCAUCAGGUGUACAA